RNAcentral lists this ribosomal RNA (119 nucleotides) under Pteropus alecto (black flying fox). Lineage: Eukaryota; Metazoa; Chordata; Mammalia; Chiroptera; Pteropodidae. The record is from RNAcentral.
GUCUACGGCCAUGCCACCCUGAAUGCACUCAAUCUCAUCUGAUCUCAGAAGCUAAGCAGGGUUGGGCCUGGUUAGUACUUGGAUGGGAGACCACCUAGGAAUACCAGGUGCUGUAGGUG